This 468-nucleotide ribosomal RNA is filed under the name uncultured bacterium. RNAcentral's name for it is "partial 16S ribosomal RNA". It matches the Rfam family "Bacterial small subunit ribosomal RNA", at positions 28 to 507 of the family's 1533-position model. The record is from RNAcentral.
GACGAACGCUGGCGGCGUGCUUAACACAUGCAAGUCGAACGGAAAGGCCCUGCUUUUGUGUGGUGCUCGAGUGGCGAACGGGUGAGUAACACGUGAGUAACCUGCCCUUUACUUUGGUAUAACUUCAGGAAACUGGGGCUAAUACCGGAUAGGAGCUCCUGCUGCAUGGUGGGGGUUGGAAAGUUUCGGCGGUUGGGGAUGGACUCGCGGCUUAUCAGCUUGUUGGUGGGGUAGUGGCUUACCAAGGCUUUGACGGGUAGCCGGCCUGAGAGGGUGACCGGCCACAUUGGGACUGAGAUACGGACCAGACUCCUACGGGAGGCAGCAGUGGGGAAUAUUGCACACUGGGCGGAAGCCUGAUGCAGCAACGCCGCGUGCGGGAUGACGGCCUUCGGGUUGUAAACCGCUUUCGCCUGUGACGAAGCGUGAGUGACGGUAAUGGGUAAAGAAGCACCGGCUAACUACGUG